This 72-nucleotide transfer RNA is filed under the name Camelus ferus (Wild Bactrian camel). It matches the Rfam family "tRNA". Rfam says of the family: Transfer RNA (tRNA) molecules are approximately 80 nucleotides in length. Their secondary structure includes four short double-helical elements and three loops (D, anti-codon, and T loops). The record is from Rfam by way of RNAcentral. Lineage: Eukaryota; Metazoa; Chordata; Mammalia; Artiodactyla; Camelidae.
GAGGGUAUAGCUUAAUGGUAGAGUGCAGGCCAAGCAUGCACUAGGUUCUGGGUUCAAUCCCCAGCACCUCCA